CCUACGGGAGGCAGCAGUGGGGAAUAUUGCACAAUGGGGGAAACCCUGAUGCAGCGACGCCGCGUGAGUGAUGAAGUAUUUCGGUUUGUAAAGCUCUAUCAGCAGGGAAGAAAAUGACGGUAUCUGACUAAGAAGCACCGGCUAACUACGUGCCAGCAGCCGCGGUAAUACGUAGGGGGCAAGCGUUACCCGGAUUUACUGGGCGUAAAGGGAGCGUAGACGGGUAAGCAAGUCAGAAGUGAAAACCUAGGGCUCAACCAUGGGACUGCAUGUGAAACUGAGUAGCUAGAGUGCAGGAGAGGUAAGCGGAAUUCCUGGUGUAGCGGUGAAAUGCGUAGAGAUUAGGAGGAACACCAGUGGCGAAGGCGGCUUACUGGACUGUAACUGACGUUGAGGCGCGAAAGCGUGGGGAGCAAACAGGAUUAGAUACCCGAGUAGUC
RNAcentral lists this ribosomal RNA (440 nucleotides) under uncultured bacterium. Its description in RNAcentral is "partial 16S ribosomal RNA". It matches the Rfam family "Bacterial small subunit ribosomal RNA", at positions 338 to 795 of the family's 1533-position model. The record is from RNAcentral.